Molecule: small RNA, 132 nt
Filed under: Spermophilus dauricus (Daurian ground squirrel)
Lineage: Eukaryota; Metazoa; Chordata; Mammalia; Rodentia; Sciuridae
Description: 7SK RNA (ENSSDAG00000003450.1)
Rfam family: 7SK RNA
About the family: 7SK was discovered as an abundant small nuclear RNA in the mid-70s but a possible function has only recently been suggested. Two independent studies have found that 7SK RNA binds the CDK9/cyclin T complex (known as elongation factor P-TEFb). P-TEFb activates transcription by phosphorylating the C-terminal domain of RNA polymerase II.
Source: RNAcentral
UUCCUCCAGAAGCUGUACCCUCAGUUGAAGAGGAAAACCCUGAUGUUCUUCGGUCAAGGGUACAUGAGUAUCUAUGUUCCCCUCUAGAACUUCCAAAGAAGCUCUCAAAAACCUCAGUAAACGGGGCUGGGG